This 514-nucleotide ribosomal RNA is filed under the name uncultured bacterium. Its description in RNAcentral is "bacterial SSU rRNA". It matches the Rfam family "Bacterial small subunit ribosomal RNA", at positions 791 to 1304 of the family's 1533-position model. The record is from RNAcentral.
UAGUCCACGCCGUAAACGAUGAUUACUCGAUGUAUGUCCGAUUGAGGAUAUGCGUCUUAGGGAAACCGUUAAGUAAGCCACCUGGGGAGUACGCCCGCAAGGGUGAAACUCAAAGGAAUUGACGGGGGCCCGCACAAGCGGUGGAGCAUGUGGUUUAAUUCGAUGCAACGCGAAGAACCUUACCAGAGCUUGACAUGUCGCAAAUUUUUACGAAAGUUUAAAGUGCCUUAGGGAAUGCGAACACAAGUGGCGCAUGGUUGUCGUCAGCUCGUGCCGUGAGGUGUUGGGUUAAGUCCCGCAACGAGCGCAACCCCUAUUGUUAGUUGCCAGCGAGUAAUGUCGGGGACUCUAACGAGACUGCCCGCGUAAGCGGAGAGGAAGGUGGGGACGACGGUCAAAUCAUCAUGGCCUUUAUGCCUAGGGCUACACACGUGCUACAAUGGCAGGUACAGAGGGUUGCGAAGGGGUGACCUGGAGCUAAUCUCAGAAGGCCUGUCCCAGUUCGGAUUGGAGU